GAAGCUGCUUCUGCUUCGCAUGCAUCAUAUGCUCCCGGCUUUUGAAAUACGCUUUCGUUUCCGCAAAUGCCGAAAUGUGAUCGUAAAAACGAUCCAGUAUCGUGGGCAUCUCGGACAUCAGGAAAUCCCUAUGCUCCCUGAGAAUCGCGCUUGUGUUGCUGUCGAUGCCGUGAAAUUUGAGUCGAUGUACGAUGGUGGAGUCGUUGCUCAUUGCGUCCCUUGCUGGAAGCGAUCGGUGUGACGUUGGGGAUUUACGAGUCUGGUGGC
RNAcentral lists this unclassified non-coding RNA (267 nucleotides) under Hevea brasiliensis (rubber tree). The record is from RNAcentral. Lineage: Eukaryota; Viridiplantae; Streptophyta; Magnoliopsida; Malpighiales; Euphorbiaceae.